AUUGAACGCUGGCGGAAUGCUUUACACAUGCAAGUCGAACGGCAGCACGGGGGCAACCCUGGUGGCGAGUGGCGAACGGGUGAGUAAUACAUCGGAACGUGCCCAAUCGUGGGGGGAUAACGUAGCGAAAGCUACGCUAAUACCGCAUACGAUCUACGGAUGAAAGCGGGGGAUCGCAAGACCUCGCGCGAAUGGAGCGGCCGAUGGCAGAUUAGGUAGUUGGUGGGGGUAAAGGCUCACCAAGCCAACGAUCUGUAGCUGGUCUGAGAGACGACCAGCCACACUGGGACUGAGACACGGCCCAGACUCCUACGGGAGGCAGCAGUGGGGAAUUUUGGGACAAUGGGCGAAAGCCUGAUCCAGCCAUUCCGCGUGCAGGA
Molecule: ribosomal RNA, 380 nt
Filed under: uncultured bacterium
Lineage: Bacteria
Description: bacterial SSU rRNA
Rfam family: Bacterial small subunit ribosomal RNA
Source: RNAcentral